GAGGGUAUAGCUCAGUGGCAGAGUGCAUGCUUAGCAUGCAUGAGGUACUGGGUUCAAUCCCCAGUACCUCCA
This 72-nucleotide transfer RNA is filed under the name Camelus bactrianus (Bactrian camel). It matches the Rfam family "tRNA". From Rfam's summary of the family: Transfer RNA (tRNA) molecules are approximately 80 nucleotides in length. Their secondary structure includes four short double-helical elements and three loops (D, anti-codon, and T loops). Further hydrogen bonds mediate the characteristic L-shaped molecular structure. tRNAs have two regions of fundamental functional importance: the anti-codon, which is responsible for specific mRNA codon recognition, and the 3' end, to which the tRNAs corresponding amino acid is attached (by aminoacyl-tRNA synthetases). tRNAs cope with the degeneracy of the genetic code in two manners: having more than one tRNA (with a specific anti-codon) for a particular amino acid; and 'wobble' base-pairing, i.e. permitting non-standard base-pairing at the 3rd anti-codon position. The record is from Rfam by way of RNAcentral. RNAcentral also lists the same sequence under 2 other names. Lineage: Eukaryota; Metazoa; Chordata; Mammalia; Artiodactyla; Camelidae.